RNAcentral lists this ribosomal RNA (2929 nucleotides) under Escherichia coli. Its description in RNAcentral is "23S ribosomal RNA". It matches the Rfam family "Bacterial large subunit ribosomal RNA". The record is from RNAcentral. Lineage: Bacteria; Pseudomonadati; Pseudomonadota; Gammaproteobacteria; Enterobacterales; Enterobacteriaceae.
GGGUUGUGAGGUUAAGCGACUAAGCGUACACGGUGGAUGCCCUGGCAGUCAGAGGCGAUGAAGGACGUGCUAAUCUGCGAUAAGCGUCGGUAAGGUGAUAUGAACCGUUAUAACCGGCGAUUUCCGAAUGGGGAAACCCAGUGUGUUUCGACACACUAUCAUUAACUGAAUCCAUAGGUUAAUGAGGCGAACCGGGGGAACUGAAACAUCUAAGUACCCCGAGGAAAAGAAAUCAACCGAGAUUUCCCCAGUAGCGGCGAGCGAACGGGGAGCAGCCCAGAGCCUGAAUCAGUGUGUGUGUUAGUGGAAGCGUCUGGAAAGGCGCGCGAUACAGGGUGACAGCCCCGUACACAAAAAUGCACAUGCUGUGAGCUCGAUGAGUAGGGCGGGACACGUGGUAUCCUGUCUGAAUAUGGGGGGACCAUCCUCCAAGGCUAAAUACUCCUGACUGACCGAUAGUGAACCAGUACCGUGAGGGAAAGGCGAAAAGAACCCCGGCGAGGGGAGUGAAAAAGAACCUGAAACCGUGUACGUACAAGCAGUGGGAGCACGCUUAGGCGUGUGACUGCGUACCUUUUGUAUAAUGGGUCAGCGACUUAUAUUCUGUAGCAAGGUUAACCGAAUAGGGGAGCCGAAGGGAAACCGAGUCUUAACUGGGCGUUAAGUUGCAGGGUAUAGACCCGAAACCCGGUGAUCUAGCCAUGGGCAGGUUGAAGGUUGGGUAACACUAACUGGAGGACCGAACCGACUAAUGUUGAAAAAUUAGCGGAUGACUUGUGGCUGGGGGUGAAAGGCCAAUCAAACCGGGAGAUAGCUGGUUCUCCCCGAAAGCUAUUUAGGUAGCGCCUCGUGAAUUCAUCUCCGGGGGUAGAGCACUGUUUCGGCAAGGGGGUCAUCCCGACUUACCAACCCGAUGCAAACUGCGAAUACCGGAGAAUGUUAUCACGGGAGACACACGGCGGGUGCUAACGUCCGUCGUGAAGAGGGAAACAACCCAGACCGCCAGCUAAGGUCCCAAAGUCAUGGUUAAGUGGGAAACGAUGUGGGAAGGCCCAGACAGCCAGGAUGUUGGCUUAGAAGCAGCCAUCAUUUAAAGAAAGCGUAAUAGCUCACUGGUCGAGUCGGCCUGCGCGGAAGAUGUAACGGGGCUAAACCAUGCACCGAAGCUGCGGCAGCGACACUAUGUGUUGUUGGGUAGGGGAGCGUUCUGUAAGCCUGUGAAGGUGUGCUGUGAGGCAUGCUGGAGGUAUCAGAAGUGCGAAUGCUGACAUAAGUAACGAUAAAGCGGGUGAAAAGCCCGCUCGCCGGAAGACCAAGGGUUCCUGUCCAACGUUAAUCGGGGCAGGGUGAGUCGACCCCUAAGGCGAGGCCGAAAGGCGUAGUCGAUGGGAAACAGGUUAAUAUUCCUGUACUUGGUGUUACUGCGAAGGGGGGACGGAGAAGGCUAUGUUGGCCGGGCGACGGUUGUCCCGGUUUAAGCGUGUAGGCUGGUUUUCCAGGCAAAUCCGGAAAAUCAAGGCUGAGGCGUGAUGACGAGGCACUACGGUGCUGAAGCAACAAAUGCCCUGCUUCCAGGAAAAGCCUCUAAGCAUCAGGUAACAUCAAAUCGUACCCCAAACCGACACAGGUGGUCAGGUAGAGAAUACCAAGGCGCUUGAGAGAACUCGGGUGAAGGAACUAGGCAAAAUGGUGCCGUAACUUCGGGAGAAGGCACGCUGAUAUGUAGGUGAGGUCCCUCGCGGAUGGAGCUGAAAUCAGUCGAAGAUACCAGCUGGCUGCAACUGUUUAUUAAAAACACAGCACUGUGCAAACACGAAAGUGGACGUAUACGGUGUGACGCCUGCCCGGUGCCGGAAGGUUAAUUGAUGGGGUUAGCGCAAGCGAAGCUCUUGAUCGAAGCCCCGGUAAACGGCGGCCGUAACUAUAACGGUCCUAAGGUAGCGAAAUUCCUUGUCGGGUAAGUUCCGACCUGCACGAAUGGCGUAAUGAUGGCCAGGCUGUCUCCACCCGAGACUCAGUGAAAUUGAACUCGCUGUGAAGAUGCAGUGUACCCGCGGCAAGACGGAAAGACCCCGUGAACCUUUACUAUAGCUUGACACUGAACAUUGAGCCUUGAUGUGUAGGAUAGGUGGGAGGCUUAGAAGUGUGGACGCCAGUCUGCAUGGAGCCGACCUUGAAAUACCACCCUUUAAUGUUUGAUGUUCUAACGUUGACCCGUAAUCCGGGUUGCGGACAGUGUCUGGUGGGUAGUUUGACUGGGGCGGUCUCCUCCUAAAGAGUAACGGAGGAGCACGAAGGUUGGCUAAUCCUGGUCGGACAUCAGGAGGUUAGUGCAAUGGCAUAAGCCAGCUUGACUGCGAGCGUGACGGCGCGAGCAGGUGCGAAAGCAGGUCAUAGUGAUCCGGUGGUUCUGAAUGGAAGGGCCAUCGCUCAACGGAUAAAAGGUACUCCGGGGAUAACAGGCUGAUACCGCCCAAGAGUUCAUAUCGACGGCGGUGUUUGGCACCUCGAUGUCGGCUCAUCACAUCCUGGGGCUGAAGUAGGUCCCAAGGGUAUGGCUGUUCGCCAUUUAAAGUGGUACGCGAGCUGGGUUUAGAACGUCGUGAGACAGUUCGGUCCCUAUCUGCCGUGGGCGCUGGAGAACUGAGGGGGGCUGCUCCUAGUACGAGAGGACCGGAGUGGACGCAUCACUGGUGUUCGGGUUGUCAUGCCAAUGGCACUGCCCGGUAGCUAAAUGCGGAAGAGAUAAGUGCUGAAAGCAUCUAAGCACGAAACUUGCCCCGAGAUGAGUUCUCCCUGACUCCUUGAGAGUCCUGAAGGAACGUUGAAGACGACGACGUUGAUAGGCCGGGUGUGUAAGCGCAGCGAUGCGUUGAGCUAACCGGUACUAAUGAACCGUGAGGCUUAACCUUACAACGCCGAAGCUGUU